RNAcentral lists this ribosomal RNA (459 nucleotides) under uncultured bacterium. RNAcentral's name for it is "SSU rRNA". It matches the Rfam family "Bacterial small subunit ribosomal RNA", at positions 26 to 518 of the family's 1533-position model. The record is from RNAcentral.
AGAAUCAACGCUGGCGGCGUGCCUCAGACAUGCAAGUCGAACGCGAAAGUUUCCUUCGGGAAACAAGUAGAGUGGCGGACGGGUGAGUAACACGUGGGAACGUGCCUUUUGGUUCGGAAUAGCUCCUGGAAACGGGUGGUAAUGCCGAAUGUGCCCUUCGGGGGAAAGAUUUAUCGCCAUUAGAGCGGCCCGCGUCUGAUUAGCUAGUUGGUGAGGUAAAGGCUCACCAAGGCUACGAUCAGUAGCUGGUCUGAGAGGAUGACCAGCCACAUUGGGACUGAGACACGGCCCAAACUCCUACGGGAGGCAGCAGUGGGAAUCUUGCGCAAUGGGCGAAAGCCUGACGCAGCCAUGCCGCGUGAAUGAUGAAGGUCUUAGGAUUGUAAAAAUUCUUUCACCGGGGACGAUAAUGACGGUACCCGGAGAAGAAGCCCCGGCUAACUUCGUGCCAGCAGCCGC